RNAcentral lists this ribosomal RNA (258 nucleotides) under Triticum aestivum (bread wheat). RNAcentral's name for it is "partial small subunit ribosomal RNA". The record is from RNAcentral. Lineage: Eukaryota; Viridiplantae; Streptophyta; Magnoliopsida; Poales; Poaceae.
GUGAGCCGUCCUCCUUAUGCUGAAAGGGGCAUGUCGCGUUGCGACACCGUCUGUGGUUACUGCUCCUGGCAAGGUCACCCAGAGUCUAACUGUCGCCAGAAGAAGCGAGAUCAGAGGCGCUCCUCCUCCAGCGGCACUCCCGUGUCUUCCUCGACUCUGUCACUCACUGACCAGGACAUUGUUCGCCUCAAGCGCCUUCUUGCUUCCUCAGGCUCCUCGUCGACUGCUGCUGCUGUGACUGCAUCCCCUUCCUCAUAG